RNAcentral lists this ribosomal RNA (616 nucleotides) under Ravinia querula. RNAcentral's name for it is "eukaryotic LSU rRNA". It matches the Rfam family "Eukaryotic large subunit ribosomal RNA", at positions 691 to 1243 of the family's 3401-position model. Lineage: Eukaryota; Metazoa; Arthropoda; Insecta; Diptera; Sarcophagidae. The record is from RNAcentral.
UUAUUGGGUAUCAAAACCUAAUAGCGAAAUUAACAUAACUUUUAUGGGAUUAGUUUUUAGAUUAUUUAUAGUCUAUUAAUUCAAUCCCGGGGCGUUCUAUAUAGUUAUGUAUAAUAAUAUUUAUAUUAUUUAUACCUCUAACUAGAGCGUACCUUGAGCAUAUAUGCUGUGACCCGAAAGAUGGUGAACUAUACUUGAUCAGGUUGAAGUCAGGGGAAACCCUGAUGGAAGACCGAAACAGUUCUGACGUGCAAAUCGAUUGUCAGAAUUGAGUAUAGGGGCGAAAGACCAAUCGAACCAUCUAGUAGCUGGUUCCCUCCGAAGUUUCCCUCAGGAUAGCUGGUGCAUUUAAAUAUUAUGUAAAAUAAUCUUAUCUGGUAAAGCGAAUGAUUAGAGGCCUUAGGGUCGAAACGACCUUAACCUAUUCUCAAACUUUAAAUGGGUAAGAACCUCACCUUUCUUGGUAUGAAGGUUGUGGUUGUGAUAUAAUGUGCCCAGUGGGCCACUUUUGGUAAGCAGAACUGGCGCUGUGGGAUGAACCAAACGUAAUGUUACGGUGCCCAAAUUAACAACUCAUGCAGAUACCAUGAAAGGCGUUGGUUGCUUAAAACAGCAG